This 400-nucleotide ribosomal RNA is filed under the name uncultured bacterium. Its description in RNAcentral is "bacterial SSU rRNA". It matches the Rfam family "Bacterial small subunit ribosomal RNA", at positions 356 to 773 of the family's 1533-position model. The record is from RNAcentral.
GGGGAAUAUUGCGCAAUGGAGGAAACUCUGACGCAGCAACGCCGCGUGAAGGAAGAAGGCCUUCGGGUUGUAAACUUCUUUGAUCGGGGACGAAAAUGACGGUACCCGAGGAACAAGCCACGGCUAACUACGUGCCAGCAGCCGCGGUAAUACGUAGGUGGCAAGCGUUGUCCGGAAUUACUGGGUGUAAAGGGCGUGUAGGCGGGGGAGCAAGUCAGAUGUGAAAGCCCAUGGCUUAACUGUGGAACUGCAUCUGAAACUGUUCUUCUUGAGUGCUGGAGAGGAAAGUGGAAUUCCUAGUGUAGCGGUGAAAUGCGUAGAGAUUAGGAGGAACACCAGUGGCGAAGGCGGCUUUCUGGACAGUAACUGACGCUGAGGCGCGAAAGCGUGGGGAGCAAAC